GACAGAGGGGGCAAGCGUUGCUCGGAAUCACUGGGCGUAAAGGGCGCGUAGGCGGUCUUGCAAGUCCCGUGUGAAAUCCCUCGGCUCAACUGAGGAACUGCACGGGAAACUGUUUGGCUUGAGUUCGGGAGAGGGAAGCGGAAUUCCGGGUGUAGCGGUGAAAUGCGUAGAUAUCCGGAGGAACACCGGUGGCGAAGGCGGCUUCCUGGACCGACACUGACGCUGAGGCGCGAAAGCUAGGGGAGCAAACAGG
This 253-nucleotide ribosomal RNA is filed under the name uncultured bacterium. RNAcentral describes it as "partial 16S ribosomal RNA". It matches the Rfam family "Bacterial small subunit ribosomal RNA", at positions 524 to 776 of the family's 1533-position model. The record is from RNAcentral.